GCCGGGCGUGGUGUGGUGUGCACCUGUAGUCCUAGCUACUCUGGAGGCUGAGGUGGGAGGAUCCCUUGAGCCUGGGAGGUCCAGGUUGCGGUGAGCUGUGACUGGGCCACUGCACUCGAGCCUGGGCAACAGAGUGAGACCCCAUCUCUA
Pan troglodytes (chimpanzee) is the source of this 150-nucleotide non-coding RNA. It matches the Rfam family "Metazoan signal recognition particle RNA". Rfam says of the family: The signal recognition particle (SRP) is a universally conserved ribonucleoprotein. NCBI's taxonomy places the organism in Eukaryota, Metazoa, Chordata, Mammalia, Primates, Hominidae. The record is from Rfam.